GAGCCGGUAGCUCAGCCUGGUAGAGCACCUGACUUUUAAUCAGGUGGUCGCGAGUUCGAAUCUCGUCCGGCCCA
This 74-nucleotide transfer RNA is filed under the name Candidatus Woesearchaeota archaeon. RNAcentral's name for it is "tRNA-Lys". It matches the Rfam family "tRNA". Rfam says of the family: Transfer RNA (tRNA) molecules are approximately 80 nucleotides in length. Their secondary structure includes four short double-helical elements and three loops (D, anti-codon, and T loops). Lineage: Archaea; Nanobdellati; Candidatus Woesearchaeota. The record is from RNAcentral.